This 245-nucleotide long non-coding RNA is filed under the name Mytilus galloprovincialis (Mediterranean mussel). Lineage: Eukaryota; Metazoa; Mollusca; Bivalvia; Mytilida; Mytilidae. The record is from RNAcentral.
CAACUUGUACCAAUACUAAAAAUAAAUGAUGGGCUUAAACAAGAAUAGAAAAUAAUAAACACAACAAACAAAACAAAAAAAGAAUAGAGAAAAAUAGGCAAACAAAAUAUAAUUUUGAAAGUUACUUGAUUAUUAAAGAAUACAGAGUUAAGGGACCCCUUCCCCCAUGCAAACCCUCACAGCUUUUAGGGUGUUUGAUAGUCAGGACCAACAGAGACCUCUAUAGGUAUUUACAUCCUUGUUUU